CUCAUGUCAACAUAAGGGUUAUAUUUUUUUUAGGUAAUUGUUGGAGAAAGAUGGCUUGGAAAUCUAUCAAUUCCCUGGUAAUCUGCAGGCCACUGUAGCAUAGAGUGUCUUCUUGGGAAUAACGAAAUGGCACCUGCUCCAAAUGGUUCCCAUGGGAACCUAGAGAAGGACUUUCCCUAUAUUCCCCACCUCUUUGGGCUUCAGCAAAAGAAAAUGGACCUCAAGGGAGUCUUCAAGAGCUGCUUCAAAAUUUACUGUUCAUCAAAGCACUUGCUGAAGACUGGCUUCGUGUCAGAGGCUGUGCUGAAUGUUAUGGAGAAGGAGGUGAAGGAGAUUCGGUGCUUACCAUGAAGGAGAGGUGGCUGCAUGAAUGUGUCAUUUUAUUACAGUGCAAUAAGUGAGGUGAUGAGCUUUGUGCAGAUUUUAUGGAAUUAAAGAAAGAGGUCAGGAAAGCUUUUAGGAACUGUAGAGACAGUGCCUAAAUUGUGUUUGAAGUUUGUCCCGAAUCAGCAGAUGAGAGAGGAGAGAGAAGAGUGGAAAGAAAUCUAGGUCAAUUAUCUUCCUAUUUCAAUUCAAAAGCAUAAAGGAGACUUAAAACACAAAAGAAAAAAAUGAGAGGAAUUAAACUUCAGAAAAGUAAAAUACACAAUCGUCCACGGCUUAUGUCCAUGUGAGAAGAAUGGAUAUGGGUUCAGCUAAAGGAAACUGUGAACUAUGGAAGAAAAAAAUCCUAUGCAUUUGUCAUCCUGGGUUUUCCCAAGUAAAAGGGGUCAAAUAGCCACCUUUGGGAUGCAUCCAAUAGUCCCAUGUAAGAUAUUUUCUUAGGGUGCGGGGUGAGGAUGACGGGGGAAGACAUGUACCAAUCUGAAAGGGAGUAAGCUUGACCACGUGGCCGAGUGGCAUCUCUGAAACCAACAGGGAUGAUGAUAAUGCUAUAGUCCACCUGGUUGGUCCAGAAAUGGUGCUUUCAUCAAAAGAACACACUCUAGCAAUCUACAACCAUUUCAAAAUAACCCAAAUCUUUUGUAAGUGUGUGUCAGCAACAGGAAGGUGAAACAUAAUUUCCAGGAACAUUCAAAUUCCCUCUUUUCCUGCUUUUUUCCCACCUGCCUCUCCAUCUUCAGGUGCUGCCUUCAGUUUCUCUGCCCUUUAACUCUCUGCUUAAAUCCUCAUGUCCUUUUUAUUACCCCAUCAUUUCCUCUUGACCUUGAAUCCUACUAUCUCAAGAAUUAUAAGGAGGACCUCCCCAUUUGGAUGGGGGAGGAGGUUCAACAGCUAAUUAUUUUAAUUUAGUCAUGUUCUCAUUAAUAGAAUCACUGGGACCCAAUUCUGCUACAGACAUAGAAUCUUAUAGUGUGAGAAGCGGAAGGAAAUCGGAUAUCUUAGUACAAUGUUCUCACUUUACAAAUUAGAGGUCUAUGGUCUAGAGAAAGGAGCCCAGGAGCAGCUUCUCAGGGCCAGGACCAUCUGAUAAGUAAGGCAGUUUGUUCUUGUUUAAAUAGCUACAAUCUCUUAAAUGAGGCUCAGUUCUUGUUUUAAUAGCUACAAUCUCUUAAAUGAGGCUCAGAACUUAAUUUCCUACUAUGUAAUUCCCAUCUCAGAAGAUUCUAGUGUGUCACAGUGGGAUCACAAUGCUACCUUAAAGAUUUUCCUCGUGAAACUGGAAUAGAAUUUUCGCCUUCUAUUUUUAUGUUUGAAACAUGUUAACAUUUUUUAAAAUUGCCUUUCUUGUUGGCGUUUUUAUUGAUUCUCUCCACCAACUACCCAAAAUAAUUAAAU
Molecule: long non-coding RNA, 1779 nt
Organism: Macaca fascicularis (crab-eating macaque)
Lineage: Eukaryota; Metazoa; Chordata; Mammalia; Primates; Cercopithecidae
Source: Ensembl